GCCACCCCCACAGGACACCCUGGAUGAGUGGAGGAUCACCUCAGCCUGUCAUCUGGCCACUUCAGAGAGGCAGAGAGAAACUCCCUAAAGCAGACCCACCAUUUUUGAUUGGUGUAUGUCCAUCUUUCCUAAAGAAGCGGUCCUUGUGUGCCAACCAGCAUCCAGCAGGACCCACCUUACUCACGUUCCUGUGUGCUGGAAAGGCCCAGUCCAUCCAAAAAGCCGUUGCACAGCCCACGUGUCCAAGACCAGAGAUCACUCUGACUUGUUUCCCGUAUUAUGACAUUGCUGGUAAGUACUGUGUGUUUCACCUUUUAAGUGAUUUAAUGUCACAUUUUCAACAAAUCAUACCUUCUCCGGGAUCACAAUCCACUUGCGCAAAAUAGAAUAUGCAGUGUUGAGUCCUCCUCCCCACCUCUUUGCCCUGUCCACUCAGUCCUCUUUCCAAACGGAAAUCAGUGUUACCUGUUUCAUUGAAAUCUUUUCAGAGAUAGUUUGGGCAAGGAAAGUUGAAUGCAAUCCAUUUGCCUUUUCAAGAAGUAUUGCUUUGUCUCUGGUUGAAAAUUAAAAUGUGCGCAGGGAACUGCAUCUUGGACUUGUGAUGGAAAAUGUUGCAGGAUAGUGAGAAAAUGAUUAUAUGUGUAUAAUAUAAAUACAUAUAUA
Molecule: long non-coding RNA, 663 nt
Filed under: Sus scrofa (pig)
Lineage: Eukaryota; Metazoa; Chordata; Mammalia; Artiodactyla; Suidae
Description: lncRNA (ENSSSCG00070005311.1)
Source: RNAcentral